This 956-nucleotide ribosomal RNA is filed under the name Salmonella enterica. RNAcentral describes it as "partial 23S ribosomal RNA". It matches the Rfam family "Bacterial large subunit ribosomal RNA", at positions 1 to 888 of the family's 2925-position model. The record is from RNAcentral. Lineage: Bacteria; Pseudomonadati; Pseudomonadota; Gammaproteobacteria; Enterobacterales; Enterobacteriaceae.
GGGUUGUGAGGUUAAGCGACUAAGCGUACACGGUGGAUGCCCUGGCAGUCAGAGGCGAUGAAGGGCGUGCUAAUCUGCGAUAAGCGCCGGUAAGGUGAUAUGAACCGUUAUAACCGGCGAUACCCGAAUGGGGAAACCCAGUGUGACUCGUCACACUAUCAUUAACUGAAUCCAUAGGUUAAUGAGGCGAACCGGGGGAACUGAAACAUCUAAGUACCCCGAGGAAAAGAAAUCAACCGAGAUUCCCCCAGUAGCGGCGAGCGAACGGGGAGGAGCCCAGAGCCUGAAUCAGCAUGUGUGUUAGUGGAAGCGUCUGGAAAGGCGCGCGAUACAGGGUGACAGCCCCGUACACAAAAGCGCAUGUGCUGUGAGCUCGAUGAGUAGGGCGGGACACGUGGUAUCCUGUCUGAAUAUGGGGGGACCAUCCUCCAAGGCUAAAUACUCCUGACUGACCGAUAGUGAACCAGUACCGUGAGGGAAAGGCGAAAAGAACCCCGGCGAGGGGAGUGAAAAAGAACCUGAAACCGUGUACGUACAAGCAGUGGGAGCCCCACCACCAAAGCAUUCUCUGGUGUUGAAGGCCCUGCAAAGCAGCAUCGCGGUGGCGGAGCGUCGUUUGCGACGCCCAACACACAAAACAAGCGGUGAGUGCUUUGGGGUGGGGUGACUGCGUACCUUUUGUAUAAUGGGUCAGCGACUUAUAUUCUGUAGCAAGGUUAACCGAAUAGGGGAGCCGGAGGGAAACCGAGUCUUAAUUGGGCGUUAAGUUGCAGGGUAUAGACCCGAAACCCGGUGAUCUAGCCAUGGGCAGGUUGAAGGUUGGGUAACACUAACUGGAGGACCGAACCGACUAAUGUUGAAAAAUUAGCGGAUGACCUGUGGCUGGGGGUGAAAGGCCAAUCAAACCGGGAGAUAGCUGGUUCUCCCCGAAAGCUAUUUAGGUAGCGCCUCGUGAA